CCUACGGGGGGCAGCAGUGGGGAAUAUUGGACAAUGGGCGAAAGCCUGAUCCAGCCAUGCCGCGUGUGUGAAGAAGGCCUUCGGGUUGUAAAGCACUUUCAGUGGGGAAGAAAGCCUUGGGGCUAAUACCCUCGAGGAAGGACAUCACCCACAGAAGAAGCACCGGCUAACUCCGUGCCAGCAGCCGCGGUAAUACGGAGGGUGCGAGCGUUAAUCGGAAUUACUGGGCGUAAAGCGCGCGUAGGCGGUCUGAUAAGCCGGUUGUGAAAGCCCCGGGCUCAACCUGGGAACGGCAUCCGGAACUGUCAGGCUAGAGUGCAGGAGAGGAAGGUAGAAUUCCCGGUGUAGCGGUGAAAUGCGUAGAGAUCGGGAGGAAUACCAGUGGCGAAGGCGGCCUUCUGGACUGACACUGACGCUGGGGUGCGAAAGCGUGGGUAGCAAACAGGAUUAGAUACCCCGGUAGUC
Molecule: ribosomal RNA, 465 nt
Filed under: Vreelandella stevensii
Lineage: Bacteria; Pseudomonadati; Pseudomonadota; Gammaproteobacteria; Oceanospirillales; Halomonadaceae
Description: partial 16S ribosomal RNA
Rfam family: Bacterial small subunit ribosomal RNA
Source: RNAcentral